CGGGGGGUAGUUCAAUGGGAGAAUGCGCGCUUUGGAAGCGUGAGGUUGUCGGUUCGAGUCCGGCUCCCCCGACCA
This 75-nucleotide transfer RNA is filed under the name Roseibacillus persicicus. Its description in RNAcentral is "tRNA-Pro". It matches the Rfam family "tRNA". Rfam says of the family: Transfer RNA (tRNA) molecules are approximately 80 nucleotides in length. Their secondary structure includes four short double-helical elements and three loops (D, anti-codon, and T loops). Lineage: Bacteria; Pseudomonadati; Verrucomicrobiota; Verrucomicrobiia; Verrucomicrobiales; Verrucomicrobiaceae. The record is from RNAcentral.